Molecule: transfer RNA, 69 nt
Filed under: Klebsiella pneumoniae
Lineage: Bacteria; Pseudomonadati; Pseudomonadota; Gammaproteobacteria; Enterobacterales; Enterobacteriaceae
Description: tRNA-Val
Rfam family: tRNA
About the family: Transfer RNA (tRNA) molecules are approximately 80 nucleotides in length. Their secondary structure includes four short double-helical elements and three loops (D, anti-codon, and T loops).
Source: RNAcentral
GUUUAUAGCUCAGUUGGUUAGAGCACCACCUUGACAUGGUGGGGGUCGUUGGUUCGAGUCCAAUUAAAC